RNAcentral lists this ribosomal RNA (649 nucleotides) under Anthopleura sp. 2 PL-2017. RNAcentral's name for it is "partial 12S ribosomal RNA". It matches the Rfam family "Bacterial small subunit ribosomal RNA", at positions 474 to 1349 of the family's 1533-position model. Lineage: Eukaryota; Metazoa; Cnidaria; Anthozoa; Actiniaria; Actiniidae. The record is from RNAcentral.
AGGACACAUUUAAUUGAGCCCGUCAAAUUAAGUGCCAGCCGACGCGGUUAAACUUAAGGGCUGGUCUUUAUAAGUAAAAAGGCGUAAAGGAUGUGUAGGCCAAGAAACGAUCCAAGUAGGUAAAUGGAAUUUUUCUGGAGCGGUAGAAUGUGAGGAUAGAAAAUAGAACCCCUAAGGUAAAAACUAUUUACUACAAGGUAGGCUGAAACAUGAGAGUGUGGGGAGCAAACAGGAUUAGAGACCCUGGUAGUCCACACUGUGAACUUUGAAGAUGAUGCUUAGCAGACCCGAAAGGUAAAAUCUUCCGCCUGAGUAGUACGAUCGCAAGAUUAAAAUUCAAAAACUUUGGCUGUUCACUAUUUCGAUUAGAGGAGCGUGUAGUUUAAUUCGAUGGUCCGCGUGUUACCUUACCCCAACUUGAAUCUGUGACCGGUAUUGCAUGGCCGUCGUAAGUUCGUGUAUUAAGCUAGAAGGGACCCAACCCGGGCAUUUGCCCGGAGGAAGUCAGGUCUUAUGAUCCGAAUGUUGGGGGAUUUUAUGCGCUACAUUUUCUUAUAUAAUGAGAAACCUGGAAGGUGAAUCUCUAAAGUAAGAGUUCGGAAGGUCGCUGUAAGACGACUGGAAGUUGGAUUUAAUAGUAAUCGGAAAG